AGAGGUCCUUCAGGAGAGCAUCCAGCUCCUGCUCGUCGAUAUAGCCGUUUCCAUCCUUGAAGGCGGAAAACAACACCCAUUGAGCUUUAAAAUCCACCGGAGGCAUAUUAUACACAAUGAAACAACUGUUGCAACCAAAUCAUUCAGUCCAAUUUAUGAAUGAAUCAUUCAGUAAAUCAUUUCUA
Molecule: long non-coding RNA, 185 nt
Organism: Puntigrus tetrazona (Sumatra barb)
Lineage: Eukaryota; Metazoa; Chordata; Actinopteri; Cypriniformes; Cyprinidae
Exons: 2
Source: RefSeq, a predicted model, not a curated record